This 370-nucleotide ribosomal RNA is filed under the name uncultured marine eukaryote. RNAcentral's name for it is "SSU rRNA". It matches the Rfam family "Eukaryotic small subunit ribosomal RNA", at positions 915 to 1286 of the family's 1831-position model. The record is from RNAcentral.
AAUUCUUGGAUUUAUGAAAGACGAACUUCUGCGAAAGCAUUUGCCAAGGAUGUUUUCAUUAAUCAAGAACGAAAGUUAGGGGAUCGAAGACGAUCAGAUACCGUCGUAGUCUUAACCCUAAACUAUGCCGACUAGGGAUCCGUGGUCAUUUUUAUGAUACCAUGGGCACCUUAUGAGAAAUCAAAGUUUUUGGGUUCCGGGGGGAGUAUGGUCGCAAGGCUGAAACUUAAAGGAAUUGACGGAAGGGCACCACCAGGAGUGGAGCCUGCGGCUUAAUUUGACUCAACACGGGAAAACUCACCAGGUCCAGACAUAGUAAGGAUUGACAGAUUGAGAGCUCUUUCUUGAUUCUAUGGGGUGGUGGUGCAUG